ACUCAAAUGAAUAGACGGGGACCCGCACAAGCAGUGGAGUAUGUGGUUUAAUUCGAAGCAACGCGAAGAACCUUACCAGGUCUUGACAUCCUCUUGAACAGUUUAGAGAUAGGCUGGGCCUUCGGGACAAGAGAGACAGGUGGUGCAUGGUUGUCGUCAGCUCGUGUCGUGAGAUGUUGGGUUAAGUCCCGCAACGAGCGCAACCCUUGAUUUUAGUUGCCAGCAUUUGGUUGGGCACUCUAGAAUGACUGCCGGUGACAAACCGGAGGAAGGUGGGGAUGACGUCAAAUCAUCAUGCCCCUUAUGACCUGGGCUACACACGUACUACAAUGGCCGGUACAACGGGCAGCGAUACCGCGAGGUGGAGCGAAUCCUUAAAAGCCGGUCUCAGUUCGGAUUGCAGGCUGCAACUCGCCUGCAUGAAGUCGGAAUUGCUAGUAAUCGCGGAUCAGCAUGCCGCGGUGAAUACGUUCCCGGGUCUUGCACACACCGCCCGU
This 497-nucleotide ribosomal RNA is filed under the name uncultured bacterium. RNAcentral's name for it is "partial 16S ribosomal RNA". It matches the Rfam family "Bacterial small subunit ribosomal RNA", at positions 899 to 1397 of the family's 1533-position model. The record is from RNAcentral.